UCGGGAAUUUUGGGCAAUGGGCGAAAGCCUGACCCAGCAACGCCGCGUGAAGGAUGAAGUAUUUCGGUAUGUAAACUUCGAAAGAAUAGGAAGAAUAAAUGACGGUACUAUUUAUAAGGUCCGGCUAACUACGUGCCAGCAGCCGCGGUAAUACGUAGGGACCAAGCGUUGUUCGGAUUUACUGGGCGUAAAGGGCGCGUAGGCGGCAAUUCAAGUCAUCUGUGAAAUCUCCGGGCUUAACUCGGAACGGCCAAGUGAUACUGUCGCGCUAGAGUGCAGAAGGGGCAAUCGGAAUUCUUGGUGUAGCGGUGAAAUGCGUAGAUAUCAAGAGGAACACCUGAGGUGAAGACGGGUUGCUGGGCUGACACUGACGCUGAGGCGCGAAAGCCAGGGGAGCAAACGGGAUUAGAUACCCGUAGUCCCUGAGCGGGCUGGCAAGGCGCAU
This 445-nucleotide ribosomal RNA is filed under the name uncultured bacterium. RNAcentral's name for it is "bacterial SSU rRNA". It matches the Rfam family "Bacterial small subunit ribosomal RNA", at positions 355 to 825 of the family's 1533-position model. The record is from RNAcentral.